GCCUGAGUGGCUCAGUCGGUUGAGCAUCUGACUUCGGCUCAGGUCAUGAUCUUGCAGUCCGUGAGUUCGAGCCCUGCAUCAGGCU
This 85-nucleotide transfer RNA is filed under the name Felis catus (domestic cat). It matches the Rfam family "tRNA". From Rfam's summary of the family: Transfer RNA (tRNA) molecules are approximately 80 nucleotides in length. Their secondary structure includes four short double-helical elements and three loops (D, anti-codon, and T loops). Lineage: Eukaryota; Metazoa; Chordata; Mammalia; Carnivora; Felidae. The record is from Rfam by way of RNAcentral.